ACGGGUGAGUAACGCGUGGGAAUCUACCCAUCUCUACGGAAUAACGCAUGGAAACGUGUGCUAAUACCGUAUACGUCCUUCGGGAGAAAGAUUUAUCGGAGAUGGAUGAGCCCGCGUUGGAUUAGCUAGUUGGUGGGGUAAAGGCCUACCAAGGCGACGAUCCAUAGCUGGUCUGAGAGGAUGAUCAGCCACACUGGGACUGAGACACGGCCCAGACUCCUACGGGAGGCAGCAGUGGGGAAUAUUGGACAAUGGGCGCAAGCCUGAUCCAGCCAUGCCGCGUGAGUGAUGAAGGCCCUAGGGUUGUAAAGCUCUUUCACCGGUGAAGAUAAUGACGGUAACCGGAGAAGAAGCCCCGGUUAACUUCGUGCCAGCAGCCGCGGUAAUACGAAGGGGGCUAGCGUUGUUCGGAUUUACUGGGCGUAAAGCGCACGUAGGCGGACUAUUAAGUCAGGGGUGAAAUCCCGGGGCUCAACCCCGGAACUGCCUUUGAUACUGGUAGUCUUGAGUUCGAGAGAGGUGAGUGGAAUUCCGAGUGUAGAGGUGAAAUUCGUAGA
Molecule: ribosomal RNA, 557 nt
Filed under: uncultured bacterium
Lineage: Bacteria
Description: bacterial SSU rRNA
Rfam family: Bacterial small subunit ribosomal RNA
Source: RNAcentral